CGACGUCAAAGCGUUCAUUAAAGUCGAGUUGGCUUAGGGAUACGUUCGUUGGGUAGGGGAGCGUUCUGUAAGCCUGUGAAGGUGUGUCGUGAGGCAUGCUGGAGGUAUCAGAAGUGCGAAUGCUGACAUAAGUAACGAUAAAGCGGGUGAAAAGCCCGCUCGCCGGAAGACCAAGGGUUCCUGUCCAACGUUAAUCGGGGCAGGGUGAGUCGACCCCUAAGGCGAGGCCGAAAGGCGUAGUCGAUGGGAAACGGGUUAAUAUUCCCGUACUUGGUGUUACUGCGAAGGGGGGACGGAGAAGGCUAUGUUGGCCGGGCGACGGUUGUCCCGGUUUAAGCGUGUAGGUGUGUGUUCCAGGUAAAUCCGGUUCACUUUAACACUGAGGCGUGACGACGAGGCACUACGGUGCUGAAGCAACAAAUGCCCUGCUUCCAGGAAAAGCCUCUAAGCAUCAGGUAACAUCAAAUCGUACCCCAAACCGACACAGGUGGUCAGGUAGAGAAUACCAAGGCGCUUGAGAGAACUCGGGUGAAGGAACUAGGCAAAAUGGUGCCGUAACUUCGGGAGAAGGCACGCUGACACGUAGGUGAAGUGAUUUACUCAUGGAGCUGAAGUCAGUCGAAGAUACCAGCUGGCUGCAACUGUUUAUUAAAAACACAGCACUGUGCAAACACGAAAGUGGACGUAUACGGUGUGACGCCUGCCCGGUGCCGGAAGGUUAAUUGAUGGGGUCAGCGCAAGCGAAGCUCCUGAUCGAAGCCCCGGUAAACGGCGGCCGUAACUAUAACGGUCCUAAGGUAGCGAAAUUCCUUGUCGGGUAAGUUCCGACCUGCACGAAUGGCGUAAUGAUGGCCAGGCUGUCUCCACCCGAGACUCAGUGAAAUUGAACUCGCUGUGAAGAUGCAGUGUACCCGCGGCAAGACGGAAAGACCCCGUGAACCUUUACUAUAGCUUGACACUGAACAUUGAGCCUUGAUGUGUAGGAUAGGUGGGAGGCUUUGAAGUGUGGACGCCAGUCUGCAUGGAGCCGACCUUGAAAUACCACCCUUUAAUGUUUGAUGUUCUAACGUGGACCCGUAAUCCGGGUUGCGGACAGUGUCUGGUGGGUAGUUUGACUGGGGCGGUCUCCUCCUAAAGAGUAACGGAGGAGCACGAAGGUUGGCUAAUCCUGGUCGGACAUCAGGAGGUUAGUGCAAUGGCAUAAGCCAGCUUGACUGCGAGCGUGACGGCGCGAGCAGGUGCGAAAG
This 1247-nucleotide ribosomal RNA is filed under the name Salmonella enterica. RNAcentral describes it as "partial 23S ribosomal RNA". It matches the Rfam family "Bacterial large subunit ribosomal RNA", at positions 1176 to 2405 of the family's 2925-position model. RNAcentral also lists the same sequence under 1 other name. Lineage: Bacteria; Pseudomonadati; Pseudomonadota; Gammaproteobacteria; Enterobacterales; Enterobacteriaceae. The record is from RNAcentral.